This is an RNA transcript of Alnus glutinosa, 2408 nucleotides long. It is a transcript of the gene named vesicle-fusing ATPase-like, with no coding region annotated. The record is from RefSeq and is a predicted model, not a curated record. The transcript is spliced from 21 exons. Lineage: Eukaryota; Viridiplantae; Streptophyta; Magnoliopsida; Fagales; Betulaceae.
AUCGCAAUGAAAAACGCACCCUUAGGCUUUAGCAAUUGCAGGGUAACGUUAAUGUGGAAUUAGGGCAAGAUGAUCGUGACGAACACGCCGGCAGCGGACCUAGCGCUGACCAACCUGGCCUACUGCUCGCACGCCGAUCACCACGGCUUUACCGUCCCAGGCACCAAGCUCUUCCUCGCUUCCAUCAGCGAUUCCUUCGUUCUCUCUGUUUCUGCUCAUGAAAGCAUACGCAGUGGCCAGAUUGCCCUAAAUGCGAUUCAGCGUCGGCAUGCUAGAGUUUCCUCCGGCGAUUCGAUAUCUGUUAGCAGAUUUAUUCCGCCUGAUAAUUUCGACGUGGUGUUGCUUACACUUGAGUUGGAGUUUGUUAAAAAGGGGAAUAAAAAUGAACAGGUUGAUGCUGUUCUUCUGGCUAACCAACUUAGAAAGAGAUUUAUCAACCAGGUCAUGACAACGGGGCAAAAAGUAUCGUUUGAGCAUCAUGGAAAUAACUAUAUCUUCACUGUCAAUCAAGCUGCUGUUGAGGGCCAACAAAGCUCUAAUGCUCCUGAAAGAGGGAUGAUUUCAAGCGAUACAUACUUUGUCUUUGAAACAUCAAAUGGGAGUGGAAUAAAGAUUGUCAAUCAGCGUGAAGCAGCCAGCAGCAACAUCUUCAGGCAUAAGGAGUUUAAUCUUCAAGCACUUGGUAUAGGUGGCCUAAGUGCAGAGUUUGCAGAUAUAUUUCGAAGAGCCUUUGCUUCUCGUGUUUUCCCUCCCCAUGUGACAAAUAAAUUGGGGAUUAAGUAUGUGAAGGGAAUGCUGCUUUUUGGGCCUCCUGGUACUGGAAAAACACUUAUUGCUCGUCAAAUUGGAAAUAUGUUGAAUGGGAGGGAACCGAAGAUUGUUAAUGGACCUGAAGUUUUGAGCAAAUUCGUUGGUGAAACUGAAAAGAAUGUUAGGGAUCUUUUUGCCGAUGCUGAGAAUGAUCAAAGAAGUCGGGGGGAUCAAAGUGAUUUGCAUGUAAUAAUUUUUGACGAGAUUGAUGCUAUUUGUAAGUCAAGGGGAUCGACUAGAGAUGGUACAGGAGUUCAUGAUGAUAUUGUAAACCAGCUUCUUACCAAGAUAGAUGGUGUGGAGUCUCUAAAUAAUGUUUUGCUUAUUGGAAUCACCAAUAGAAAGGAUUUGCUUGAUGAAGCCCUUUUGAGACCAGGACGCUUGGAGGUUCAAAUUGAGAUAGGCCUUCCUGAUGAAAAUGGUCGCUUACAGAUUCUUCAAAUUCACACAAACAAGAUGAAAGAGAAUUCUUUUCUUGCUCCUGAUGUGAACAUUCAAGAGCUUGCUGCACGUACAAGAAACUAUAGCGGUGCUGAACUUGAAGGUGUUGUAAAAAGUGCGGUAUCUUAUGCUUUGCAUAGACAACUAAGUAUGGAUGAUCUUACCAAGCCAGUUGAUGAAGAGAAUAUUCAAGUUACUAUGGAAGAUAUUUUGAAUGCACUCAACGAAAUAAUUCCUGCAUUUGGAGCCUCCACUGAUGACCUUGAACAGUGCAGCCGUAUGUUGUUGGGUUUACCUCUUUACUUGUUACUUGUGGAACAAGUUAAAGUGAGUGAAAGAAGGACGCUUCUUACCUGCCUUCUGGAAGGCCCGAGUGGAAGUGGAAAGAGCGCGCUAGCAGCUACUGUUGCCAUUGACAGUGAUUUUCCGUUUAUCAAGAUAGUCUCAGCAGAAGCGAUGGUUGGUCUCCAUGAAAGCACUAAAUGUGCCCAAAUUGUCAAGGUAUUUGAGGAUGCAUACAAGUCAGCUCAAAGCAUCAUCAUUCUUGAUGACAUGGAAAGGUUACUGGAGUAUGUUGCCAUUGGGCCUCGUUUUUCAAAUUUAGUUUGUCAGACGUUAAUGAUCCUGCUCAAGCGUCGACCUCGAAAGGAUACCACCGGAAGCCUCGCUAGAAGGAAGAUAGCACCAAUCGAGAAACUGGCACCCCCACAAACUUCUCACAAUACUCCCUCUAACAUUCCAAGAAAUCAGCCUGGGAUUAAUGUGGAACCUCUUUGAGCCCUCCCCUUGUUCCUCCCACGAGAAACACUGCCAUUGCGAGCGUCGUAGUUGUUGGAGCUGAACAGACCAUUGACUUCUCUUAACACCUUUUUUACCCACUUUCAAACGGGGCCGUCCCCUGAUCUUCAUGAUUUGGUGUAAUAUCUGAGAACAGAGAUGAAAGUCUUCCUUCGAAACCAUUGCAAGAAAGGCCACAAAAUGGGAUGGAGGAUGGAGGAUGUAAUUUCUUUUGGGCAAUGGUAACUUCAUCUCAAGGAAAAAAACUUCUGGUUAUAGGGACGACGAGUGAAGUCGGCUUCUUAGAUUCAAUGGGUAUUUGUAAGGCUUUCUCUUCCAUUUAUCAUGUUCCUACAUUGAAGACAGAGGAUGCAAAGAAG